Equus caballus (horse) is the source of this 3046-nucleotide long non-coding RNA. The record is from Ensembl. Lineage: Eukaryota; Metazoa; Chordata; Mammalia; Perissodactyla; Equidae.
CUCCCAAUAGCAGGCAGAAGAGUUAUCUCCAUCCAGAGGUGGCAAAGCCUUCAGGGUUCGACUCACAUUGUCUGUUCUCAAGGGACUCACACACACAAGCUAGACUGCCGAUUUGUUAAUUUGACAGAGAACUGAGACUGUCAGGAGGCUGCACUGGUCAGCACGUCCUCUCCUUCUCGAAGCAAAGCCCCUGGGGAAGCCAGGCACCAGCAGAAGGCUGAUUGGUGAAGUCACAGCCCAGCGAACCACAGGCUCUUCCCGGCGAGAGGCAGGAAGCUGGCAAGCCAGAGCGCACAGCCCCUCAGGCCUGGCGGCCCGUCUCCUGGAAAGAGGACGCCCGCCCUCCGACAUUCUCACACUUCGGAUGCUCCUGUUCUAGAAUCAACUCAUUCGACUAAAACAAUGACUGAUGACAAGUACUGCUCUAGGCCCUGGGAAUAGACGAUAACCCAAGUCGUCCAGCAGCUUCCUGUUGAGUCGGAGAGCAUGAGUGCAAAGAAUCACCAUUUGGGCAAGUUAGCAAAUCAGUCCACCGGUUACAGAAGUGUCACUCAAAGUGGAAUCCACAGGCGUUGUACUAGUGCUGAAAUGUAACUGAUAGAGAUACAGACAGGAAAGGAAUGACCCCUGCCUACAUGGAGCUUAUGGACCUGAGCAUUGUUUUCCAAAUGCUCCUGAUGACAACCAGCAUGUGGAGGACUAGUUAAAAUACACAUUUCCAGGCCCCACCUCAAGCUCUCUGAACUAGAUUCUCCAGGCAAGGGGUCCAAGAGGCUGUAAAUUUAGCAAACACCAUUGGUGAGUGUUAUCACGAGAAUUUUUAUGAAUUUUUCUGGUAGAUUCCACUUCUAUAAGUCGGGGGUGGCGUCUAGGAACUCUGUGGUCCUCAGGGAAGGAGGAAGUCAGUAAGCAUUUUAAGUGGGGAUAGGAGAUAAUCGUGUUCGCAUUUCAGACAGGGAUCACUCUAGCCGUGUGGGUAAGGCAUCAGUAAGAGGGAAAAUGAGAACCCUAAGCCUGCUUAGGAAGCUGCUGGGCUGCUCUGGACAGGACAUAGUGGUACCCGGACUAGACUACUGUUGUGGGAGCUGAGACAGGUGAAUAGACUCGAGAGGCAUCUAGGAGAAGAGUCAACAGGACCUACUGAGGGACUGACGUGGGGCUUAAGGGAGAGAGCAGCAUCAAAGGUGACUCCUGAAUUUCUGGGCUCGAGCUCCUGCAUGGACGGAGAGGCCCUGCACUGGGAUAGCAACAGCAGGAGAAGGAAGGCUUUGGGGCAUGGAAAGGGUCGAUCAUGAGUUUAGCUUUGGGAAAUUUGAGAUCCACAUGCCACAGGUACAUCUAAGUGGAGACAGAUGUUCAAUAUGGAGUUGUACGUAGGAAUUCUGCUCUAGACUGAGUGUUCCUAUCCCCCUAAGUUCAUAUGUUGAAACCCAAACCCCCAGUGGCAUGGUAUUUGGAAGUGGGGCCUUUGGCAGGUGAUUAGGUCAUGAAGGUGGAGCCCUUAGGAAUGGGAUUAGUGUCCUUAUAUAAAAGAGGCCCCAGAGAGCUCCCUCGUCCCUCUGCCACGUGAGGACACAGAAAGAAGACGGCUGCCUACGAACCAGGAGGAGGGCUCUUACCACAGAGUGUGCCGGCGCCUUGAUCCGGGCCUUCCAGCCCCCAGAACCGUGAGAAAUACAUGUUAUGUAGUCUAUAAGCCACCAGGCUGUGGUGUUUUUGUUGUGGCCGCCCAAACGGACUAAGACAAAUCCCUAGCUGCACAGAAGAAUCUGGGAUGGAUAUUUCCACUUUGGGAGCCAUCAGAUGAAAGAAUCCUUGAAGAUAUGACAGUGAAUAAGAUUGCCUUGAGAGUGUGUGUAUCCAUGAGAAUGGCGAAGACAAAAAGAAGUCUGAACAUUUAAAGAAGACGCUAGACAGAGACAUAUGUGGAGAAGGUAUAGCCUGGGAAGUAGAGGGAAAACCAAGAGUGAGAAGUCACUGAAACCAAAGGAAAAGAUGGCUUUCCUUUGGGGAAAUGGCCAACGCUGCAGAAUGCUGCUGAGGGUCAAAUAAGGGUCAGAGAAAAGAUGUGAGAUUUGAAAGUCAACUGCAAUGAUGUUGACAGGCAUUAGAAAUCAAUUCUCGACCAUGGCCGUUCAGACUGCUUAUUCCUGACAGCUAAAGACUAAAUCUGAAUCUUGACCACAUUCCCAGAAUCGCCUUUCCCUCCUGCAUGGAAAGGAGGAGAUUCCUCCGUAAUGAAGACAUACGUUUGAAGUCAUAAGGCUCUAAUUUAAAGUACGUGAUUUAAGACAUCACAUUAAAGCUUAGAUUACUCCUAAGAUUGCUUUAGAAUGCGGACAUAUUAAAGGCUCAGAAAGCUGUCAACUUACAUGACUCCCGUUCCUGAGUUUGAGGCAGCGAUCUUCCUGUGUUCAUCUUUACAUCCCAGGUUCCAUGCGUGAUGGCAUGCACAGAGUGGGUCUUCUAUGAAUGUCUGUGGAAUGAAAGCGUACAUGAAUGACUGCAUGAGGCUUCCGGGUGAGAGGAAACCCUGUGCUAAGUCACUUCCCUUCCAUUGACUGGGCCGGAAGCAUCCUGCAGCCUCUUCAGUUGGAAUCAAUUGAUUUUCACAUUCACAUUCUGAUGCAGAUGCAGCCCUGGGCUCUUAAAUUACUUCAACAGGAGGAACAUUAGCACAUAUCCCAUCAUAUGAAGCUUUGUUGAAUGUGUUUAUCUCUUUUAGAAGAUUCUGGACUCUACGCCUUUUCCAGUUUUAUAUUCCUGGUGCCUCGCAUGGCAUGCGACAUGUGGUAGAUUUUCAGCAGCUAUUCCAAGAAUGAAUUGGAAGCCCACUGGGAUUGCAUCCUAGUCGUCAAUGGCUGGAUCUUGGUCAAGUCACCGCACCUCUGGGGGUCAGAGUUUGCUCAUCCAUAAAACAGAUGCUUUUUAUCAUUCUGUGACUCCUGCUUAACAGACUAGAAAGAAAUACUUGGCUGCAGAGUCAUAUCAAAGAUUGAGAAACUCACAAGAAGUUUUCUCGUACAUAAAAUUUCUUAGGAAGGAG